RNAcentral lists this transfer RNA (91 nucleotides) under Litorimonas cladophorae. RNAcentral describes it as "tRNA-Ser". It matches the Rfam family "tRNA". Rfam says of the family: Transfer RNA (tRNA) molecules are approximately 80 nucleotides in length. The record is from RNAcentral. Lineage: Bacteria; Pseudomonadati; Pseudomonadota; Alphaproteobacteria; Maricaulales; Robiginitomaculaceae.
GGUGGGGUGGCCGAGUGGUUUAAGGCGCACGCUUGGAAAGCGUGUUUAGGUUUGUAGCCUAACGUGGGUUCGAAUCCCAUCCCCACCUCCA